Molecule: ribosomal RNA, 460 nt
Filed under: uncultured bacterium
Lineage: Bacteria
Description: partial 16S ribosomal RNA
Rfam family: Bacterial small subunit ribosomal RNA
Source: RNAcentral
CCUACGGGGCGCAGCAGUGAGGAAUAUUGGUCAAUGGCCGGAAGGCUGAACCAGCCAUGCCGCGUGAAGGUCAGUGCCCUAUGGGCGUUAAACUUCUUUUGUGCGGGAGCAAUAAUGGUCACGUGUGGCCAGACGAGAGUACCGUACGAAUAAGCAUCGGCUAACUCCGUGCCAGCAGCCGCGGUAAUACGGGGGGUGCAAGCGUUAUCCGGAUUUAUUGGGUUUAAAGGGUGCGUAGGCUGUGAGGUAAGUCAGCGGUGAAAUGCCCCCGCUCAACGGGGUGAAGUGCCAUUGAUACUGCCUGGCUGGAAUGCGGAUGCGGUGGGAGGAAUGUGUGGUGUAGCGGUGAAAUGCAUAGAUAUCACACAGAACACCGAUUGCGAAGGCAUCUCACGAAUCCGCGAUUGACGCUGAUGCACGAAAGCGUGGGUAUCAAACAGGAUUAGAUACCCGAGUAGUC